Molecule: non-coding RNA, 512 nt
Organism: Arachis ipaensis
Lineage: Eukaryota; Viridiplantae; Streptophyta; Magnoliopsida; Fabales; Fabaceae
Source: RefSeq, a predicted model, not a curated record
AUUUAGAAAUGAAUGAUUUUGAGUCUUUCGAAAGAUGAUUUUGAAUUUGGCAUGGUUUUGAGAUUGUUUGGAAGUGUUGGAAAGACGUGAAAAGUGGCUCCAUUUUGAAAAAUGAUUCUUGGCCAGAUGUGAAUUGAAUACGGUGGUUAUUUAAAAAUAAAUGGGCCAAGAAUGAUUUUGAAGUAAGAUAUUGAGCCUGAUUGAUGUGUUGGAACUGUUUUUCUGAAAAACCACUGGACUACUAUUUUAUAUUGAGAUUAUGAAACGCUAUGCGCCCGACAGGGGCAGAGGUCGGUGGCAAUAGAUCCCGCUCGCAUCCCUUCGGAUCAUCAGAGCGUACAGGCGCAAAACCUUGGGUGUGCAUAUUGUAACUGGUUUACCUAUGUGAAUACUUAUGUUAGUUGCUAACUGCUAUAUUUGUUGUAAUUGCUAUUGAUUGUGUUUGAACUACAUUAUGUGUGAUUGUGUUUGAUUGGUUGGUUUGUGAUGAAUUGGUUGAUGAUUGAGUUGUU